GACGAACGCUGGCGGCGUGCUUAACACAUGCAAGUCGAACGGAAAGGCCCUGCUUUUGUGGGGUUCUCGAGUGGCGAACGGGUGAGUAUCACGUGAGUAACCUGCCCUUGACUUUGGGAUAACUUCAGGAAACUGGGGCUCAUACCGGAUAGGAGCUCCUGCUGCAUGGUGGGGGUUGGAAAGUUUCGGCGGUUUGGGAUGGACUCGCGGCUUAUCAGCUUGUUGGUGGAGUAGUGGCUUACCAAGGCUUUGACGGGUAGCCGGCCUGAGAGGGUGACCGGCGACAUGGGGACUGAGAGACGGCGCAGAAUCCUACGGGAGGCAGCAGGGGGGAAGAUUGCACAAUGGGCGGAAGCCUGAGGCAGCAACGCCGCGUGCGGGAUGACGGCCUUCGGGUUGUAAACCGCUUUGGCCGGUGACGAAGCGUGAGUGACGGUAAUGGGUAAAGAAGCACCGGCUAACUACGUG
This 468-nucleotide ribosomal RNA is filed under the name uncultured bacterium. Its description in RNAcentral is "partial 16S ribosomal RNA". It matches the Rfam family "Bacterial small subunit ribosomal RNA", at positions 28 to 507 of the family's 1533-position model. The record is from RNAcentral.